RNAcentral lists this ribosomal RNA (563 nucleotides) under uncultured Alphaproteobacteria bacterium. Its description in RNAcentral is "bacterial SSU rRNA". It matches the Rfam family "Bacterial small subunit ribosomal RNA", at positions 335 to 915 of the family's 1533-position model. The record is from RNAcentral. Lineage: Bacteria; Pseudomonadati; Pseudomonadota; Alphaproteobacteria.
ACUCCUACGGGAGGCAGCAGUGGGGAAUAUUGGACAAUGGGGGCAAGCCUGAUCCAGCAAUGCCGCGUGAGUGAUGAAGGCCUUAGGGUUGUAAAGCUCUUUCGACGGGAACGAUAAUGACGGUACCCGGAGAAGAAGCUGCGGCUAACUACGUGCCAGCAGCCGCGGUAAUACAGAGGGGGCAAGCGUUAAUCGGAAUUACUGGGCGUAAAGGGCGCGUAGGCGGUCUGAUAAGUUAGAUGUGAAAUUCCCGGGCUUAACCUGGGGGCUGCAUUUAAGACUGUCAGGCUUGAAUCCGGGAGAGGAUAGCGGAAUUCCCAGUGUAGAGGUGAAAUUCGUAGAUAUUGGGAAGAACACCAGUGGCGAAGGCGGCUAUCUGGACUGGCAUUGACGCUGAGGCGCGAAAGCGUGGGGAGCAAACAGGAUUAGAUACCCUGGUAGUCCACGCCGUAAACGAUGUGUGCUUGACGUCGGAGGGCAUAGCCCAUCGGUGUCGGAGCUAACGCGGUAAGCACACCGCCUGGGGAGUACGGCCGCAAGGUUAAAACUCAAAGGAAUUGACG